CAAUSGGCGCAAGCMUGAUGCAGSGACGCCGCGUGCGGGAUGRCGGCCUUCGGGUUGUAAACCGCUUUUGACUGGGAGCAAGCCMUUCGGGGUGAGUGUACCUUUCGAAUAAGCACCGGCUAACUACGUGCCAGCAGCCGCGGUAAUACGUAGGGUGCAAGCGUUAUCCGGAAUUAUUGGGCGUAAAGGGCUCGUAGGCGGUUCGUCGCGUCCGGUGUGAAAGUCCAUCGCUUAACGGUGGAUCCGCGCCGGGUACGG
Molecule: ribosomal RNA, 258 nt
Filed under: uncultured Bifidobacterium sp.
Lineage: Bacteria; Bacillati; Actinomycetota; Actinomycetes; Bifidobacteriales; Bifidobacteriaceae
Description: partial 16S ribosomal RNA
Rfam family: Bacterial small subunit ribosomal RNA
Source: RNAcentral